GAUGAACGCUGGCGGCGUGCCUAAUACAUGCAAGUCGAGCGAACAGACGAGGAGCUUGCUCCUCUGACGUUAGCGGCGGACGGGUGAGUAACACGUGGAUAACCUACCUAUAAGACUGGGAUAACUUCGGGAAACCGGAGCUAAUACCGGAUAACAUGUUGAACCGCAUGGUUUAACAGUGAAAGACGGUCUUGCUGUCACUUAUAGAUGGAUCCGCGCCGCAUUAGCUAGUUGGUAAGGUAACGGCUUACCAAGGCAACGAUGCGUAGCCGACCUGAGAGGGUGAUCGGCCACACUGGAACUGAGACACGGUCCAGACUCCUACGGGAGGCAGCAGUAGGGAAUCUUCCGCAAUGGGCGAAAGCCUGACGGAGCAACGCCGCGUGAGUGAAGAAGGUCUUCGGAUCGUAAAACUCUGUUAUUAGGGAAGAACAAAUGUGUAAGUAACUAUGCACGUCUUGACGGUACCUAAUCAGAAAGCCGCGGCUAACUACGUG
This 497-nucleotide ribosomal RNA is filed under the name uncultured bacterium. Its description in RNAcentral is "partial 16S ribosomal RNA". It matches the Rfam family "Bacterial small subunit ribosomal RNA", at positions 28 to 507 of the family's 1533-position model. The record is from RNAcentral.